This 492-nucleotide ribosomal RNA is filed under the name uncultured bacterium. RNAcentral describes it as "partial 16S ribosomal RNA". It matches the Rfam family "Bacterial small subunit ribosomal RNA", at positions 29 to 507 of the family's 1533-position model. The record is from RNAcentral.
AGUGAACGCUGGCGGUAGGCCUAACACAUGCGAGUCGAACGGCCGCACCGUAAGAGCUUGCUCUUACGGGUGGCGAGUGGCGGACGGGUGAGGAAUACAUCGGAAUCUACUUUUUCGUGGGGGAUAACGUAGGGAAACUUACGCUAAUACCGCAUACGACCUCCGGGUGAAAGCAGGGGAUCUUCUGACCUUGCGCGAUUGAAUGAGCCGAUGUCGGAUUCGCUAGUUUGCGGGGUAAAGGCCCACCAAGGCGACGAUCCGUAGCUGGUCUGAGAGGAUGAUCAGCCACACUGUAAGUGAGACACGGUCCAGACUCCUACGGGAGGCAGCAGUGGGGAAUAUUGGACAAUGGGCGAAAGCCUGAUCCAGCCAUACCGCGUGGGUGAAGAAGGCCUUCGGGUUGUAAAGCCCUUUUGUUGGGAAAGAAAAGCAGCAGGUUAAUACCCCGCGGUUCUGACGGUACCCAAAGAAUAAGCACCGGCUAACUUCGUG